RNAcentral lists this ribosomal RNA (433 nucleotides) under uncultured bacterium. RNAcentral describes it as "partial 16S ribosomal RNA". It matches the Rfam family "Bacterial small subunit ribosomal RNA", at positions 29 to 507 of the family's 1533-position model. The record is from RNAcentral.
AACGAACGCUGGCGGCAUGCCUAACACAUGCAAGUCGAACGAGACCUUCGGGUCUAGUGGCGCACGGGUGCGUAACGCGUGGGAACCUGCCCUUAGGUUCGGAAUAACUCCCCGAAAGGGGUGCUAAUACCGGAUAAUGCCUUCGGACCAAAGAUUUAUCGCCUUUGGAUGGGCCCGCGUUGGAUUAGCUAGUUGGUAGGGUAAAAGCCUACCAAGGCGACGAUCCAUAGCUGGUCUGAGAGGAUGAUCAGCCACACUGGGACUGAGACACGGCCCAGACUCCUACGGGAGGCAGCGGUGGGGAAUAUUGGACAAUGGGCGAAAGCCUGAUCCAGCAAUGCCGCGUGAGUGAUGAAGGCCUUAGGGUUGUAAAGCUCUUUUACCCGGGAUGAUAAUGACAGUACCGGGAGAAUAAGCUCCGGCUAACUCCGUG